AAAUAGAACUUUGCAGAGAGAGUUAACAGGGCGUGAAACCGUUAAUUGGCAAACGAAUCGGAGCCACGAAGUCGUUUCGUUGUUUAGUCUGGACCAGGUUCAGCGGCGCUCGAGAGGGCGCCGUGCACUCCUGGGUCUGGCCAAACCUUGUAAGCGUACACUGCAACCAGUUAGACGAUCAGCCGUGGGCACAGUGCCGCUCUAGUCAGUAGUAGCGCGGCUGAGUUUCGGCUCAGUUCCGUGUUGCUGGACUGGUGGCGAGUGAACUACGGCUGAAUACUGACUGGCGAAAUGAAAAUCGCCCCGUCCUCGGGUGCGUUAGAGACAAAGCAACCAGCCACAUGCGGGCCUACACGGCCGACUGUUGGGUCUAAGCUUGGCGUUUUUGAAUUCAGACUUGCUAGCUACCAGUGGGGCAACUCCUGGUGCUUGUACAGCUUCUGUCUAAUCGGGCGUCGACUUGGCCUAGCAUCGUUCGGUCGUGCUACGAUGGGGCCUGCAUGCGAGCUGGCUCGCAAUGUGAAUUGGCAGUGAGUAGGUCGGCUUUCCGAACGACCCGUCUUGAAACACGGACCAAGGAGUCUAAUUGGGCAUCGAGUCGAUCGGUCUUGAAUAGGCCAGACAGGGAGCCCUCCCUCGAUGGAAGGCGUAGAGAAAUCGUGUGAUCGCACGGCAAAUCAGCCUAGGCGCGCAACAUGUGCCUGUUCGUAUAGCAGUGUCGCAAGCUGCUGGGCGGAGCAGAGAGAUGCCUGAUUGGGACCCGAAAGAUGGUGAGCUUGGGCAAAUUGAAGCCAGAGGAAACUCUGGUGGAGGAUUGUAGCGAUUCUGACGUGCAAAUCGAUCGUCAGACCUGAGUAUAGGGGCGAAAGACUAAUCGAACCAUC
This 884-nucleotide ribosomal RNA is filed under the name Abacarus cf. oplismeni GD111. RNAcentral describes it as "partial large subunit ribosomal RNA". It matches the Rfam family "Eukaryotic large subunit ribosomal RNA", at positions 366 to 944 of the family's 3401-position model. The record is from RNAcentral. Lineage: Eukaryota; Metazoa; Arthropoda; Arachnida; Trombidiformes; Eriophyidae.